RNAcentral lists this ribosomal RNA (1538 nucleotides) under Klebsiella pneumoniae. RNAcentral's name for it is "bacterial SSU rRNA". It matches the Rfam family "Bacterial small subunit ribosomal RNA". Lineage: Bacteria; Pseudomonadati; Pseudomonadota; Gammaproteobacteria; Enterobacterales; Enterobacteriaceae. The record is from RNAcentral.
AAAUUGAAGAGUUUGAUCAUGGCUCAGAUUGAACGCUGGCGGCAGGCCUAACACAUGCAAGUCGAGCGGUAGCACAGAGAGCUUGCUCUCGGGUGACGAGCGGCGGACGGGUGAGUAAUGUCUGGGAAACUGCCUGAUGGAGGGGGAUAACUACUGGAAACGGUAGCUAAUACCGCAUAAUGUCGCAAGACCAAAGUGGGGGACCUUCGGGCCUCAUGCCAUCAGAUGUGCCCAGAUGGGAUUAGCUAGUAGGUGGGGUAAUGGCUCACCUAGGCGACGAUCCCUAGCUGGUCUGAGAGGAUGACCAGCCACACUGGAACUGAGACACGGUCCAGACUCCUACGGGAGGCAGCAGUGGGGAAUAUUGCACAAUGGGCGCAAGCCUGAUGCAGCCAUGCCGCGUGUGUGAAGAAGGCCUUCGGGUUGUAAAGCACUUUCAGCGGGGAGGAAGGCGGUGAGAUUAAUAACCUCAUCGAUUGACGUUACCCGCAGAAGAAGCACCGGCUAACUCCGUGCCAGCAGCCGCGGUAAUACGGAGGGUGCAAGCGUUAAUCGGAAUUACUGGGCGUAAAGCGCACGCAGGCGGUCUGUCAAGUCGGAUGUGAAAUCCCCGGGCUCAACCUGGGAACUGCAUUCGAAACUGGCAGGCUAGAGUCUUGUAGAGGGGGUAGAAUUCCAGGUGUAGCGGUGAAAUGCGUAGAGAUCUGGAGGAAUACCGGUGGCGAAGGCGGCCCCUGGACAAAGACUGACGCUCAGGUGCGAAAGCGUGGGGAGCAAACAGGAUUAGAUACCCUGGUAGUCCACGCCGUAAACGAUGUCGAUUUGGAAGUUGUGCCCUUGAGGCGUGGCUUCCGGAGCUAACGCGUUAAAUCGACCGCCUGGGGAGUACGGCCGCAAGGUUAAAACUCAAAUGAAUUGACGGGGGCCCGCACAAGCGGUGGAGCAUGUGGUUUAAUUCGAUGCAACGCGAAGAACCUUACCUGGUCUUGACAUCCACAGAACUUUCCAGAGAUGGAUUGGUGCCUUCGGGAACUGUGAGACAGGUGCUGCAUGGCUGUCGUCAGCUCGUGUUGUGAAAUGUUGGGUUAAGUCCCGCAACGAGCGCAACCCUUAUCCUUUGUUGCCAGCGGUUAGGCCGGGAACUCAAAGGAGACUGCCAGUGAUAAACUGGAGGAAGGUGGGGAUGACGUCAAGUCAUCAUGGCCCUUACGACCAGGGCUACACACGUGCUACAAUGGCAUAUACAAAGAGAAGCGACCUCGCGAGAGCAAGCGGACCUCAUAAAGUAUGUCGUAGUCCGGAUUGGAGUCUGCAACUCGACUCCAUGAAGUCGGAAUCGCUAGUAAUCGUAGAUCAGAAUGCUACGGUGAAUACGUUCCCGGGCCUUGUACACACCGCCCGUCACACCAUGGGAGUGGGUUGCAAAAGAAGUAGGUAGCUUAACCUUCGGGAGGGCGCUUACCACUUUGUGAUUCAUGACUGGGGUGAAGUCGUAACAAGGUAACCGUAGGGGAACCUGCGGUUGGAUCACCUCCUUA